RNAcentral lists this ribosomal RNA (1136 nucleotides) under Hypoxylon sp. RNAcentral describes it as "partial large subunit ribosomal RNA". It matches the Rfam family "Eukaryotic large subunit ribosomal RNA", at positions 75 to 1124 of the family's 3401-position model. Lineage: Eukaryota; Fungi; Ascomycota; Sordariomycetes; Xylariales; Hypoxylaceae. The record is from RNAcentral.
UUGCCCUAGUAACGGCGAGUGAAGCGGCAACAGCUCAAAUUUAAAAUCUCGAUCCUCGUGGUCCGAGUUGUAAUUUGUAGAGGAUGCUUUUGGUGCGGUGCCUUCCGAGUUCCCUGGAACGGGACGCCAGAGAGGGUGAGAGCCCCGUACGGUUGGACACCUACCCUAUACGUAGCUCCUUCGACGAGUCGAGUAGUUUGGGAAUGCUGCUCUAAAUGGGAGGUAAAUUUCUUCUAAAGCUAAAUACCGGCCAGAGACCGAUAGCGCACAAGUAGAGUGAUCGAAAGAUGAAAAGCACUUUGAAAAGAGGGUUAAAUAGCACGUGAAAUUGUUGAAAGGGAAGCGUUUGCGACCAGACUUUUUCCAGGCGGAUCAUCCGGUGUUUUCACCGGUGCACUUCGUCUGGUUUAGGCCAGCAUCGGUUUCUUUAGGGGGAUAAAGGCCUGGGGAACGUAGCUCUUUCGGGAGUGUUAUAGCCCCUUGCGUAAUACCUUUGGAGGGACCGAGGACCGCGCUCUGCAAGGAUGCUGGCGUAAUGGUCGUUAACGACCCGUCUUGAAACACGGACCAAGGAGUCGAACAUUUAUGCGAGUGUUUGGGUGUUAAACCCUCACGCGUAAUGAAAGUGAACGGAGGUGAGAGCCCUUACGGGUGCAUCAUCGACCGAUCCUGAUGUCUUCGGAUGGAUUUGAGUAAGAGCAUAACUGUUCGGACCCGAAAGAUGGUGAACUAUGCGUGGAUAGGGUGAAGCCAGAGGAAACUCUGGUGGAGGCUCGCAGCGGUUCUGACGUGCAAAUCGAUCGUCAAAUCUGCGCAUGGGGGCGAAAGACUUAUCGAACCAUUAAACCAGCGGUAAACAAUUUUUUUACUAGGUGGUUAAGAGGCUUCCCGUAAGGGAUGUCUAGGUCAUCGGAAGAGCUUACCCUAGAGCUACCCUGUACCUACCCGGUACUUGGUUACCCUAGAGUGCUGGUCCGGCCGACACCGCUAAAUUGCGGGAACGUCCUACAGAAGGUCACAGGCUACCGCCGGGCGCUGAAAAGCGUACGCCGGCACCGAGAAUAGCGCUCUCGGGUACGGUAAAAACGCCUGUGGUAACGGAUAACCUGCAGCCAACCCCGCUACAGGGGAGAGUU